AGAGUUUGAUCCUGGCUCAGAACGAACGCUGGCGGCGUGCCUAACACAUGCAAGUCGAACGGGACUGGGGGCAACUCCAGUUCAGUGGCGGACGGGUGCGUAACACGUGAGGAACAUGACUUUCGGCGGGGGAUAGCCGGCCCAACGGCCGGGUAAUACCGCGUACGACCUCUCGGGGACAUCCCCGGUUGGUGAAAGCAGCAAUGCACCGAAAGAGUGUCUCGCGGCCUAUCAGCUAGUUGGUGAGGUAAUGGCUCACCAAGGCGACGACGGGUAGCUGGUCUGAGAGGAUGGCCAGCCACAUUGGGACUGAGACACGGCCCAGACUCCUACGGGAGGCAGCAGUGGGGAAUAUUGCGCAAUGGGCGAAAGCCUGACGCAGCGACGCCGCGUGUGGGAUGACGGCCUUCGGGUUGUAAACCACUGUCGGGAGGGACGAAUGCGCCGCAAGGCGAGUGACGGUACCUCCAAAGGAAGCACCGGCUAACUCCGUGCCAGCAGCCGCGGUAAUACGGAGGGUGCGAGCGUUGUCCGGAAUCACUGGGCGUAAAGGGCGCGUAGGCGGCCUGGUAAGUAGGGGGUGAAAUCCUGCGGCUUAACCGCAGGGCUGCCUUCUAAACUGUCAGGCUCGAGCACGGUAGAGGCAGAUGGAAUUCCCGGUGUAGCGGUGGAAUGCGUA
RNAcentral lists this ribosomal RNA (679 nucleotides) under uncultured bacterium. RNAcentral's name for it is "bacterial SSU rRNA". It matches the Rfam family "Bacterial small subunit ribosomal RNA", at positions 8 to 692 of the family's 1533-position model. The record is from RNAcentral.